RNAcentral lists this ribosomal RNA (425 nucleotides) under uncultured bacterium. RNAcentral describes it as "partial 16S ribosomal RNA". It matches the Rfam family "Bacterial small subunit ribosomal RNA", at positions 354 to 796 of the family's 1533-position model. The record is from RNAcentral.
GUGGGGAAUAUUGGACAAUGGGCGCAAGCCUGAUCCAGCCAUGCCGCGUGAGUGAUGAAGGCCUUAGGGUUGUAAAGCUCUUUCAGUGGGGACGAUAAUGACUGUACCCACAGAAGAAGCCCCGGCUAACUCCGUGCCAGCAGCCGCGGUAAUACGGAGGGGGCUAGCGUUGUUCGGAAUUACUGGGCGUAAAGCGCACGUAGGCGGACUGGAAAGUCAGGGGUGAAAUCCCGGGGCUCAACCCCGGAACUGCCUUUGAAACUCCCAGUCUUGAGGUCGAGAGAGGUGAGUGGAAUUCCGAGUGUAGAGGUGAAAUUCGUAGAUAUUCGGAGGAACACCAGUGGCGAAGGCGGCUCACUGGCUCGAUACUGACGCUGAGGUGCGAAAGCGUGGGGAGCAAACAGGAUUAGAAACCCCGGUAGUCC